UGAGGAAUAUUGGUCAAUGGACGAGAGUCUGAACCAGCCAAGUAGCGUGAAGGAUGACUGCCCUAUGGGUUGUAAACUUCUUUUAUACGGGAAUAAAGUUAGCCACGUGUGGCUUUUUGUAUGUACCGUAUGAAUAAGGAUCGGCUAACUCCGUGCCAGCAGCCGCGGUAAUACGGAGGAUCCGAGCGUUAUCCGGAUUUAUUGGGUUUAAAGGGAGCGUAGGCGGGUUGUUAAGUCAGUUGUGAAAGUUUGCGGCUCAACCGUAAAAUUGCAGUUGAUACUGGCGACCUUGAGUGCAACAGAGGUAGGCGGAAUUCGUGGUGUAGCGGUGAAAUGCUUAGAUAUCACGAAGAACUCCGAUUGCGAAGGCAGCUUACUGGAUUGUAACUGACGCUGAUGCUCGAAAGUGUGGGUAUCAAACAGGAUUAGAUACCCUGGUAGUCCACACAGUAAACGAUGAAUACUCGCUGUUGGCGAUAUACGGUCAGCGGCCAAGCGAAAGCAUUAAGUAUUCCACCUGGGGAGUACGCCGGCAACGGUGAAACUCAAAGGAAUUGACGGGGGCCCGCACAAGCGGAGGAACAUGUGGUUUAAUUCGAUGAUACGCGAGGAACCUUACCCGGGCUUAAAUUGCAACUGACUGAAUCGGAAACGGUUCUUUCUUCGGACAGUUGUGAAGGUGCUGCAUGGUUGUCGUCAGCUCGUGCCGUGAGGUGUCGGCUUAAGUGCCAUAACGAGCGCAACCCUUACGGGUAGUUACCAUCAGGUUAUGCUGGGGACUCUACCCGGACUGCCGUCGUAAGAUGUGAGGAAGGUGGGGAUGACGUCAAAUCAGCACGGCCCUUACGUCCGGGGCUACACACGUGUUACAAUGGGGGGUACAGAAGGCAGCUACACGGCGACGUGGUGCUAAUCCCGAAAGCCUCUCUCAGUUCGGAUUGGAGUCUGCAACCCGACUCCAUGAAGCUGGAUUCGCUAGUAAUCGCGCAUCAGCCACGGCGCGGUGAAUACGUUCCC
This 1017-nucleotide ribosomal RNA is filed under the name uncultured bacterium. RNAcentral describes it as "bacterial SSU rRNA". It matches the Rfam family "Bacterial small subunit ribosomal RNA", at positions 355 to 1375 of the family's 1533-position model. The record is from RNAcentral.